GGUGUGGCCUUGUUGGAGAAAGUGUGUCACUGGGGGUGGGCUUUGAGGUCUCAGAUGCUCAAGCCAGGCCCAGUGUCAUCCUCUCUUGCUGCUGCCUGUGGGUC
RNAcentral lists this microRNA precursor (104 nucleotides) under Microtus ochrogaster (prairie vole). RNAcentral describes it as "miRNA (ENSMOCG00000007683.1)". Lineage: Eukaryota; Metazoa; Chordata; Mammalia; Rodentia; Cricetidae. The record is from RNAcentral.